AAAAAGAUGGCAGAUAGGUUAUGUGGCUGGCUUGAAACUAGUUUAUGUGGGUUCGACUCCUACUCUUUUUG
This 71-nucleotide transfer RNA is filed under the name Rhinatrema nigrum (black caecilian). RNAcentral's name for it is "tRNA-Ser". It matches the Rfam family "tRNA". Rfam says of the family: Transfer RNA (tRNA) molecules are approximately 80 nucleotides in length. Their secondary structure includes four short double-helical elements and three loops (D, anti-codon, and T loops). Lineage: Eukaryota; Metazoa; Chordata; Amphibia; Gymnophiona; Rhinatrematidae. The record is from RNAcentral.